GAAGGUUCUAUCCUUUAUUCUCAUAAUAAUUACUGUACUUAGCAAACAAAAGAGGUAACAAAUGAGGUUUCAAAUUAGAAAAGUAACUUUUUAAAAAAUGAUCCAUCCUCUCUCCCUCCACCAUCCUCAUCUUCUUCUUCCUCUCACCUUCUACCUUCCUUCCUCCUUUUCCAACGUUUCCAUUUUCAGUUAACCAAAAGAAAAAAAAGCAGGUAAGACAUUAUGACAUCACCGACACUCUUUCAACCCACAAAAUAUAUGAUUGUAUUUUGUUAAUGUGAGUGAAUUUAGUUUCGCAAUAAUUAACAUAACUUAGAAAUGCCUUACAUGGUUAAACUAAACUUGAAAAUAAUUACCUAUUUUGAUGAAAAAAAGAGAUUUGACCUAUCUAUCCUUUUCAUUGAUAAAUAACUAAAAUAUCAAAAUUAUAUUUUUGAAUGACAUGCCCAAAAUUAGUCAUAAAAUCACACAAGACAUUGUCCACUAUUGUUUAAACAAAUCCCAGCAGCCAAAAAAUAAAGAAGAAAUUAAUUUUAUUUAAAACAAAAUUCUGAUUUUUCCUUCAGUCAAACCAAAACCCCCAACUAAGAAUAUUUUUUUUCCCCUUAAUAAAUACUGACAUCAAUCCCUUCCAAUUUCCAAAUCCCAUCUUCGCCUUCCUUCUUCAUCAAUUUCUAAAUUUCCCAACCCAAAUUCAAACACACACACACAUACCUCCAUAAUUUCUUCAUAUUCACAUGGCAGCUAAGAGAAUUAGAGAACAAUUUGAAGCUUCCGAUAUCGCUAAAUC
This 790-nucleotide long non-coding RNA is filed under the name Cucumis sativus (cucumber). RNAcentral's name for it is "long non-coding RNA (CSAT_LNC001582)". Lineage: Eukaryota; Viridiplantae; Streptophyta; Magnoliopsida; Cucurbitales; Cucurbitaceae. The record is from RNAcentral.